Molecule: long non-coding RNA, 796 nt
Organism: Syngnathoides biaculeatus (alligator pipefish)
Lineage: Eukaryota; Metazoa; Chordata; Actinopteri; Syngnathiformes; Syngnathidae
Exons: 4
Source: RefSeq, a predicted model, not a curated record
UUUCGCUCACACACUCGCCCUCACACGGCUGCUUCCAACCGACGCACACAGGCGCAGACCCAUUUACACAAACUGGAGAAAGCACUAUAAAUAGUAUGCCUACGAUGUGAUGCUGUGUGUUGCUUACCCCUGUGGGUUUUUAUGUGUGUGUGACUGUCAAGAGUGACAAGAGAGGGAGAGCGAGAGGACGGUAAGCGAAGGGAAGGCUCUGCUCACGUCUGGCGCACAGCCAGUGAUAAACACAAAGUGACAGGCGUGGCAAAGAUGGAUGAGGAACACAAUAGCAGCUGAACAAACCGAAAAUUCCUUUCCGCAUGAGCGCUGUCAAGUUGGCAGUGAGAAAUUAUGGAGGCCAACAUCUGAUGGCUCGCAGAUUUGUGAAAUAUGCUGCACGAGAGCUCCUCUGCCUGAGAAACACGUCAGAUCUCUCAACUCCAUCUGUUGUUCCAAGACUACCUCCGAUCUCCGGGUUGGUUGCUACCUGGGCUGACGUGGGGGUGGAAGGAAGAUGCAGACACAGGAGGCGAGGCAGGAAAAGGAGCCACAGGGAAUGUGUUUUUCCAUGAGCAUGAGUGGGCGGAGCCUCUUGUGCCACACCUGGUGCCGAUUUCAAUCAACAAGGAUUUAUUGAGCUUUCUUUUUGACUGGUGUCUCCAUCCAGCACCUUUUGUUAUUUAUUACACUGUAAGUCAUUUAUGCACCAUAUUGAUCUUUUGCCAUUGUUGUUUUCUGUUACAUUAUUGCCAUCUGUUUUUUCUACCUAUAUCCCUUGCUUAUUAAAUUCGGUUUUAUUGUC